UGUAUCUGAAGCCUGACGAGGAUGAGAACCUCCGGGGGCAAGAGGUUCGACUCGAGCGAAGCGAGAGAACGUUGCGUCAGCAACGGCCCGCAGUGGCAAGUCAUCCUCUGUCACCGGCA
Molecule: small RNA, 119 nt
Filed under: Salmonella enterica subsp. enterica serovar Thompson
Lineage: Bacteria; Pseudomonadati; Pseudomonadota; Gammaproteobacteria; Enterobacterales; Enterobacteriaceae
Also listed under: 17 other names
Description: RtT RNA
Rfam family: RtT RNA
About the family: This family represents a bacterial cis-regulatory element known as RtT RNA. The exact function of RtT is unknown although it is thought that it may be involved in changing the cellular response in relation to amino acid starvation.
Source: RNAcentral